CACAGUUCCUUGUUAUUACUAAUGUAACACUCAUAGUAAUAACCGUCUUCUUCAUUUACACGGCACUAUUAGCCAAGCCUCCCAACCCGUCAGGGAGGGAAUUGGGUCUUUUCAUUAGGAGGCUAACAAACUGAAGGCAUGACAGGACACAGCGCAAUGACUAGAGUAUCACCAGCCUGGGAAGUGAAUAGGCAACCUGCUUUGGUGGAUUGAGGGACACAGCCACUGCUCUGGCAGGUAUUACAACUGGGGACACGACAUGCGGAGUGAUGCUACUCUUCCAACUUGGGAAACCACAGG
This is a long non-coding RNA of Aquila chrysaetos chrysaetos, 300 nucleotides long. RefSeq lists it as uncharacterized. The record is from RefSeq and is a predicted model, not a curated record. NCBI's taxonomy places the organism in Eukaryota, Metazoa, Chordata, Aves, Accipitriformes, Accipitridae. The transcript has 3 exons.